Molecule: ribosomal RNA, 489 nt
Filed under: uncultured bacterium
Lineage: Bacteria
Description: partial 16S ribosomal RNA
Rfam family: Bacterial small subunit ribosomal RNA
Source: RNAcentral
GACGAACGCUGGCGGCGUGCUUAAUACAUGCAAGUCGAACGCAAAGGCAGUGCCUUUCUUCUCUGCAUGAGUGGCGAACGGGUGAGUAACACGUAGGUAACCUGCCCUUUAGUUUGGGAUAACUACUGGAAACGAGAGCUAAUACCGCAUAAGAGUACCUGCUGCAUGAUAUUUGCUGGAAAGUUGCAGUGGCUUCGCUACGACUCGCGUCUUCUUAGCUUGGUGGUGGGGUAGUGGUACACCAAGGCGAUGACGCGUAGCCGUACGGAGAGGGUGAGCGGCCACACUGGGACGGAGACACGGCCCAGACGCCCAGGGGAGGCAGCAGGAGGGAAUCUGGGGGAAUGGACGGAAGUCUGACCGAGCAACGCCGCGUGAGGGAAGAAGGUUGUCGGAUCGGAAAGCUCGGUUGUAAGAGAAGAACGAGUGUGAGAGUGGAACGUUCACACUGUGACGGUAUCUUACCAGAAAGGGACGGCUAACUACGUG